GGAAGGCGGCGCCAAGUGGUAGGCAAACCGGUUUGAACCCGGUGCUGCUGGAAACGGUAAGGGUUCGACUCCUUCGCCUUCCGCCA
RNAcentral lists this transfer RNA (86 nucleotides) under Pseudomonas sp. F8002. RNAcentral describes it as "tRNA-Ser". It matches the Rfam family "tRNA". Rfam says of the family: Transfer RNA (tRNA) molecules are approximately 80 nucleotides in length. Their secondary structure includes four short double-helical elements and three loops (D, anti-codon, and T loops). Lineage: Bacteria; Pseudomonadati; Pseudomonadota; Gammaproteobacteria; Pseudomonadales; Pseudomonadaceae. The record is from RNAcentral.